AUGCUUUGCUUUUCCUGGUGCUACUUUCCUUUGCUCAGCUUUGCCUUCCCUGGCCGUGCUUUGUUUUGCUUUAUGGGGCCAUGCUUUCCUUUUUUUACCUUUGCCUUGCUCUCUUUUGCCUCACCUGCUCCUGCUCUCACUUCUAUUUUCAGGCCAUGCUUGCCUUUGUUUUGCUUUGCUUUGCUUUACCUGGUGCUACUUUCCUUGCUCAGCUUUGCCUUCCCUGGCCUUGCUUUCGUUUGCUGUAUCAGGCCGUUUUUUCCUUUUCCUUUGUUUAGCUUCCCUUUGCUCCGCUUUGCCUUGCUAUGUUUUGCCUUUUCUGGCCAUGUUUUGCUUUUUUUUUUUUUUUUUUUUAAUUGUUCAUUGCAUUCUUUUGUUUUCCUUUUGGACCUUUUUAACGUGUUUUUAGAGGCCGUGCAUUUCUUUUCCAGGCCGUGCUUGUCAUUGCUUUUCCCUAUGCCGCUAGGUCUUUUCCCUAGCAGGGCUUUGCUUUGUCUUGCUCAGCUUUCAUCCGCAUUGCCUUCCUCUCCUGUGCUGUGCUAGGCUUCCUUUGGAGACUGUCUCACUGAUUUUGCUGCCGAGUCGAUUGGUAAAUUUAUGAACGCAUAAACCAUCGGAAACAGAACUUGGCCUCCCCGCAGUCCAGCGACUGUCCACUCGGAACUGGCACGUGUGGGCAGCAGGCCUGGCCAGCCGACAUGGUCCAUUCUUUGUCCCCAGCCAUGCGGCAAGCUGCCAGGUGGGCCCCACUGCUCGUUGUGUGUCUGAGGUUCUCAACGACAGUAAGUAACUACAUGAUUCCCACAACUACAGUGGAAGAAAUCCACAACAACAACAAACAACAACAACAACAAGAACAAGAACAACAACAACAACAACAACAACAACAACAACAACAACAACAAAAUACAUAGAAAUAUAUAAAACUAGCUAAGGCAAGACAUGGUUCUUGCCCACCGUCACGGUGGACCAGGAGAUGUGAAGGAGGCUGGGGAGAGGGCGAUCAGGGUACAGCCACUGUCCAAGUCUGGCUGCCACCUGUACACAAAAUGAGGGCCCUCCGGUCUCCCCCCCACAGACACUUGGAACCCAAAGGAGUGCUGGCCGCCAGCUCGCUACGUUCGCUUUGCUUCUCUUUGUUCUGCCUUGCUCCGCUUUGCUUUGCUCUUCCUGGCACAGUUUUGCUUUUCCAUACCUCCUUUUCUCUGCUGUUCUUACCUCAGAUUGCUUUGCUUUUUCUCUCCUGGAAAUGCUGUGUUUUUCCUUGUGCAACUUUGCUUUGCUUUGCUUUGCUUUGCUUUGCUUUGCUUUGCUUUUUCUUUCCUGGGCCUGCUACGUUUUUACUUGUGCGGUCAUGCUUUAUUUUUUAUUUCUUUGCUUCGUGUUCCUGUCAGUGCUUUGCUUUACCUUCUCUGCUCUUCUGUACCUUUCUUAGCCUUGCUGUGCUUUGCUUUGACUCAAACUGCUUUCUUUCCUUGGCUUUCCCUUUCCUGGCACCGCUUUGUUUUUCCCCGUGCUCCUUUCCUUAGCUUUGCCGUCUUUAUGAAUGCAUAAACAAGUUCAUGAAACUUGUUUAUGAACACAUAGAAAAGUUAGCCGGCCUGCAGCCCGACAGCUGUCCCCUCGGAGCUGGCGGGCAGGGACAGGGAUCUGGCUACCGGGCCAGGUCUAUUUUGUUGCCCACCGUUGUCCGGAGAGCCACCAGGUGGGCUCUGUUGCUAUUCGUCUGGGGAGGGGUGUGGGUUGAGAACAACAAUAAAUAACUACUCGAUUCCUAAAACUAAAGGGGGAAACAGAUGGAGAAAAUACUAUUAUUAUUACUACUACUACUACUAUUUUUAUUACGUUUUAAUGAUACUUAUUUCUAUUACUAUUUAAUACUUUUAUUUCUAAUAGCUUUU
RNAcentral lists this long non-coding RNA (1901 nucleotides) under Anas platyrhynchos (mallard). Its description in RNAcentral is "lncRNA (ENSAPLG00020015534.1)". The record is from RNAcentral. Lineage: Eukaryota; Metazoa; Chordata; Aves; Anseriformes; Anatidae.